GAGAAAUGGCUGAGUGGUCUAAAGCGGUAGUCUCGAAAACUAUUGUACCUUUAUAAGGUACCAGGGGUUCAAAUCCCCUUUUCUCC
This 86-nucleotide transfer RNA is filed under the name uncultured Clostridium sp. It matches the Rfam family "tRNA". From Rfam's summary of the family: Transfer RNA (tRNA) molecules are approximately 80 nucleotides in length. The record is from RNAcentral. Lineage: Bacteria; Bacillati; Bacillota; Clostridia; Eubacteriales; Clostridiaceae.